This is a long non-coding RNA of Oncorhynchus keta (chum salmon), 904 nucleotides long. RefSeq lists it as uncharacterized. Lineage: Eukaryota; Metazoa; Chordata; Actinopteri; Salmoniformes; Salmonidae. The transcript is spliced from 3 exons. The record is from RefSeq and is a predicted model, not a curated record.
ACCUGACCAUUACUUACCUCAAACACUACUGCAUCAAAGCUGGGACCGAGAGACUGGAAAAACAGCUUCUAUCUCAAGGCCAUCAGACUGUUAAACAGCCAUCUGUCACACCUUUGUGUUUUCUUUAAUUAUUUGUUCAGGCCAGGGUGUGACAUGGGGUUAUUGUAUUGUCGUAUUUGUAGGCAUUUUUUUUUUUACCUUUAUUUAACUAGUCAAGUCAGUUAAGAACAAAUUCUUACUUUCAAUGAUGGCCUAGGAACAGUGGGUUAACUGCCUGUUCAGGGGCAGAACGACAGAUUUGUACCUUGUCAGCUCGGGGGUUUGAACUUGCAACCUUCCGGUUACUAAUCCAACGCUCUAACCACUAGGCUACCCUGCCGCCCCAGUGUGGUUGAUUAGGGGUGUGUCUAGUAUAGGCUUGGCUGCCUGAGGCGGUUCUCAAUCAGAGUCAGGUGAUUCUUGUUGUCUCUGAUGGGGAACCGUAUUUAGGUAGCCUGGGUUUCACUGUGUAUUUGGUGGGUGAUUGUUCCUGUCUCUGUGUAGUUUCACCAGAUAGGCUAUAAUAGGUUUCAUGUUCCUGUCUCUGUGUAGUUUCACCAGAUAGGCUAUAAUAGGUUUCAUGUUCCUGUCUCUGUGUAGUUUCACCAGAUAGGCUAUAAUAGGUUUCAUGUUCCUGUCUCUGUGUAGUUUCACCAGAUAGGCUAUAAUAGGUUUCAUGUUCCUGUCUCUGUGUAGUUUCACCAGAUAGGCUAUAAUAGGUUUCAUGUUCCUGUCUCUGUGUAGUUUCACCAGAUAGGCUAUAAUAGGUUUCAUGUUCCUGUCUCUGUGUAGUUUCACCAGAUAGGCUAUAAUAGGUUUCAUGUUCCUGUCUCUGUGUAGUUUCACCAGAUAGGCUAUAAUAGGU